GUAACAAGGUCUCCGUUGGUGAACCAGCGGAGGGAUCAUUAUCGAGUUAUUCAACUCCCAAACCCUAUGUGAACUUACCACUUGUUGCUUCGGCGCGCGCUUCGGCGCCGCCGAGGACACUUAAACUCUUUGUUUUUAUAAGCAUUUCUGAGUGGCCGAAAGGCAAAAAUACAAAUGAAUCAAAACUUUCAACAACGGAUCUCUUGGUUCUGGCAUCGAUGAAGAACGCAGCGAAAUGCGAUAAGUAAUGUGAAUUGCAGAAUUCAGUGAAUCAUCGAAUCUUUGAACGCACAUUGCGCCCGCCAGCAUUCUGGCGGGCAUGCCUGUUCGAGCGUCAUUUCAACCCUCGAGCCCGACUCUUUUGAGGACGGCUCGGCGUUGGGGGACGGCAGACUCCCCCCGGCAUCUCGCCGGGGACGCCGCCCCCGAAAUCUAGUGGCGGCCCUCCGAGGCGACCUCUGCGUAGUAACUUGUUCUCGCACCGGAAAGCUCAGAGCGGCCACGCCGUAAAACCCCAACUUUUUUCAGGUUGACCUCGAAUCAGGUAGGACUACCCGCUGAACUUAAGCAUAUCAAUA
Molecule: ribosomal RNA, 578 nt
Filed under: uncultured eukaryote
Lineage: Eukaryota
Description: eukaryotic LSU rRNA
Rfam family: 5.8S ribosomal RNA (bases 184-337)
Source: RNAcentral